UCAAUUCCUUCACAACUUUUGCUGGUGAAUUCCAUUUCCUUAGAUCUCUUUCUUUCAAUUUUUUUCACUCGGUUUUCCUCCUUGUAUCCUUCUUUUGCUGUUUUUUAAUCUUUCAAUUCUUCUUUCACUUUACAAUAUAUUUUUGUGCAUGCAAAUCUACAAUUUCUGACUCCUUCGCAUUGUAUAUUUAUAUUAUAUUUUAAAUCAAUUAUUCGAUUGAAAGCCAUUCUCCGUUUAUUGAAUUUUAUUGUUGUUUGGAUUCUGAGGAAAACGGAUGAAAUAGGAAGAAAUUUGCUUUUCUUCUGUCCUUUAGGAUUUCCCACAUUUGGUCCAUAGCUAAACACAGACUAAUUUUUUUUUUUUAAUAUGAUUUUUGUUUUGUUUCAGUUAUUAGUUAAUUUUCUCGCUCCAUUUCAUCCAGCAACUAACAAGAGAUUGUAUCUUAUUUUUGCUACACUAAUUCAUUCAGUUAACUAUUAUGUGAUUGCACAGGUACUUAUAAUUAAUGAUCUCCAACACCUCUUCCGAAAAUUUUCUUAAUUCAUAAUUUUUUUGGAUCAUGUUCUAAGUCAUCAUUUCUACUUCAGGCCAUUUGAUUAAUAUGAUUUAGUUGGAUUCUUUAUCUAGGCUACAAUGCAAUGAUUGUUGGGUUCUUGGCAUGAAGAGAUAGCUCUUCAUUAUGGUUUUCAAGGAUUUGCAUAUUUCUUUGCUCUGAAUUACCUUCUCAAUUUUAUGUGGGGUCAUUUUGUUGUAGACAACUUGGCGGAAAAAAGCUGU
Molecule: unclassified non-coding RNA, 777 nt
Filed under: Hevea brasiliensis (rubber tree)
Lineage: Eukaryota; Viridiplantae; Streptophyta; Magnoliopsida; Malpighiales; Euphorbiaceae
Source: RNAcentral